GCGCUCGUUUUGGCAGCACAUAUACUAAAAAUUGGGACAGUACAAAGAAGAUUAGCAUGGCCCCUGCCCAAGGAUGACCCACAAAUUCUUGAAGCGUUCCAUAUUUUU
Small nuclear RNA from Sorex araneus (European shrew), 108 nucleotides. The record is from Ensembl. Lineage: Eukaryota; Metazoa; Chordata; Mammalia; Eulipotyphla; Soricidae.